RNAcentral lists this ribosomal RNA (522 nucleotides) under uncultured bacterium. Its description in RNAcentral is "bacterial SSU rRNA". It matches the Rfam family "Bacterial small subunit ribosomal RNA", at positions 777 to 1297 of the family's 1533-position model. The record is from RNAcentral.
AAUAGAUACCCUGGUAGUCCACGCCGUAAACGAUGAGUGCUAAGUGUUAGAGGGUUUCCGCCCUUUAGUGCUGCAGCUAACGCAUUAAGCACUCCGCCUGGGGAGUACGGUCGCAAGACUGAAACUCAAAGGAAUUGACGGGGGGCCCGCACAAGCGGUGGAGCAUGUGGUUUAAUUCGAAGCAACGCGAAGAACCUUACCAGGUCUUGACAUCCUCUGACAACUCUAGAGAUAGAGCGUUCCCCUUCGGGGGACAGAGUGACAGGUGGUGCAUGGUUGUCGUCAGCUCGUGUCGAGAGGUGUUGGGUUAAGUCCCGCAACGAGCGCAACCCUUGAUCUUAGUUGCCAGCAUUUAGUUGGGCACUCUAAGGUGACUGCCGGUGACAAACCGGAGGAAGGUGGGGAUGACGUCAAAUCAUCAUGCCCCUUAUGACCUGGGCUACACACGUGCUACAAUGGAUGGUACAAAGGGCUGCAAGACCGCGAGGUCAAGCCAAUCCCAUAAACCAUUCUCAGUUCGGA